RNAcentral lists this ribosomal RNA (253 nucleotides) under uncultured bacterium. Its description in RNAcentral is "partial 16S ribosomal RNA". It matches the Rfam family "Bacterial small subunit ribosomal RNA", at positions 524 to 776 of the family's 1533-position model. The record is from RNAcentral.
UACGGGGGGGGCAAGCGUUGUUCGGAAUUACUGGGCGUAAAGGGCUCGUAGGCGGCCAACUAAGUCGGACGUGAAAUCCCCAGGCUCAACCUGGGAACUGCGUCCGAUACUGGAUGGCUUGAAUCCGGGAGAGGGAUGCAGAAUUCCAGGUGUAGCGGUGAAAUGCGUAGAUAUCUGGAGGAACCCCGGUGGCGAAGGCGGCAUCCUGGACCGAGAUUGACGCUGAGGCGCGAAAGCCAGGGGAGCAAACGGG